RNAcentral lists this ribosomal RNA (371 nucleotides) under uncultured bacterium. RNAcentral's name for it is "bacterial SSU rRNA". It matches the Rfam family "Bacterial small subunit ribosomal RNA", at positions 29 to 424 of the family's 1533-position model. The record is from RNAcentral.
AACGAACGCUGGCGGCAGGCCUAACACAUGCAAGUCGAACGCCCUAGCAAUAGGGAGUGGCAGACGGGUGAGUAACACGUGGGAAACCUUCCCUAUAGUACGGAAUAGCUCAGGGAAACUUGAAGUAAUACCGUAUACGCCCGAGAGGGGAAAGAUUUAUCGCUAUAGGAUGGGCCCGCGUCGGAUUAGCUAAGUUGGUGAGGUAAAUGGCUCACCAAGGCGACGAUCCGUAGCUGGUUUGAGAGAACGACCAGCCACACUGGGACUGAGACACGGCCCAGACUCCUACGGGAGGCAGCAGUGGGGAAUAUUGGACAAUGGGCGCAAGCCUGAUCCAGCCAUGCCGCGUGAGUGAUGAAGGCCUUAGGGUU